Molecule: ribosomal RNA, 246 nt
Filed under: uncultured bacterium
Lineage: Bacteria
Description: partial 16S ribosomal RNA
Rfam family: Bacterial small subunit ribosomal RNA
Source: RNAcentral
CGUAGGCGCAAGCGUUAUCCGGAAUUAUUGGCGUAAGAGCUUGUAGGCGGUUCGUCGCGUCUGGUGUGAAAGCCCAUCGCUUAACGGUGGGUCUGCGCCGGUACGGCGGCUAGAGUGCAGUAGGGAGACUGGAAUUCCCGGUGUAACGGUGGAAUGUGUAGAUAUCGGGAAGAACACCAAUGGCGAAGGCAGGUCUCUGGGCUGUUACUGACGCUGAGAAGCGAAAGCGUGGGAGCGAACAGGAUU